UGGGGAAUAUUGCACAAUGGGGGAAACCCUGAUGCAGCGACGCCGCGUGAGCGAUGAAGGCUUUCGAGUCGUAAAGCUCUGUCCUAUGGGAAGAUAAUGACGGUACCAUAGAAGAAAGCCCCGGCUAACUACGUGCCAGCAGCCGCGGUAAUACGUAGGGGGCUAGCGUUGUCCGGAAUCACUGGGCGUAAAGGGUUCGCAGGCGGCAAUGCAAGUCAGAUGUAAAAGGCAAAGGCUCAACCUUUGUAAGCAUCUGAAACUGUAUAGCUUGAGAAGUGUAGAGGCAAGUGGAAUUUUUAGUGUAGCGGUGAAAUGCGUAGAUAUUAAAAAGAAUACCGGUGGCGAAGGCGACUUGCUGGGCACAAUCUGACGCUGAGGAACGAAAGCGUGGGGAGCAAACAGG
Molecule: ribosomal RNA, 403 nt
Filed under: Verrucomicrobiota bacterium
Lineage: Bacteria; Pseudomonadati; Verrucomicrobiota
Description: Verrucomicrobia bacterium partial 16S ribosomal RNA
Rfam family: Bacterial small subunit ribosomal RNA
Source: RNAcentral